CGGUUGAUAAUGAGAACUCAUAUUGGCAUAGAGAUGAUGACCUAAAAACCAGUGGGAUUAUACUAAGGCCA
RNAcentral lists this small nucleolar RNA (71 nucleotides) under Catagonus wagneri (Chacoan peccary). Its description in RNAcentral is "Small nucleolar RNA SNORD115 (ENSCWAG00000008054.1)". It matches the Rfam family "Small nucleolar RNA SNORD115". From Rfam's summary of the family: HBII-52 is a member of the C/D class of snoRNAs, which contain the C (UGAUGA) and D (CUGA) box motifs. Lineage: Eukaryota; Metazoa; Chordata; Mammalia; Artiodactyla; Tayassuidae. The record is from Rfam by way of RNAcentral.